UAUUUCAAAGAUUAAGCCAUGCAUGUCUAAGCAUGAGCUAAAUCAUAGUGAAGCCGCGAAUAGCUCAUUACAAUAGCCGUUGUUUCUUGGAUCCUCAAUUUACUUGGAUACCUGUGGUAAUUCUAGAGCUAAUACAUGCGAGACUAAGAGCCGACCGUAAGGGACGCUUGCAUUUGUUAGAUCAAGACUAAUCGGCUUCGGCCGUUACUUGGUGACUCUAAAUAACUCAGCUGAUCGCACGGUCUAGUGCCGGCGACAUAUCUUUCAAGUGUCUACCUUAUCAACUGUCGAUGGUAGUUUAUGUGACUACCAUGGUUGUAACGGGUAACGGAGAAUCAGGGUUUGACUCCGGAGAGGGAGCCUGAGAAACGGCUACCACUUCUAAGGAAGGCAGCAGGCGCGCAAAUUACACAAUCUCAGCACGAGGAUGUAGUGACGAAACAUACCGAGGCGAUGCCCUUUCGGGUGCCGUCAUUGGAAUGAGUCGAAUCUAAAAAAUUCGGCAAGGAUCUAGUGGAGGGCAAGUCUGGUGCCAGCAGCCGCGGUAAUUCCAGCUCCGCAAGUGUAUAUCUAUGCUGUUGCGGUUAAAAAGCUCGUAGUUUGAUUCGCGUACUUAGCACGCAGUGUGGCCUUUCGGCUACUACUGUGAUGCGGUACAUUAUCGUCAGUUUGUCGUUGAUGCUCUUCAUUGGGUGUCAGCGGCGGCUGUCAAGUUUACUUUGAACAAAUUAAAGUGCUCAAAACAGGCGUUUCGCUUGUAUAGUUUUGCAUGGAAUAAUAGAAUAGGACUUACGUUCUAUUUUGUUGGUUUUCAGAACGAAAGUAAUGAUUAAGAGGGACAGAUGGGGUCAUUCGUACUUAUUCCGACGUUAGAGGUGAAAUUCUUGGAUCGUUGCAAGACGAACUACUGCGAAGGCAUUUGCCAAGAAUGUUUUCAUUAAUCAAGAACGAAAGUUAGAGGUUCGAAGGCGAUCAGAUACCGCCCUAGUUCUAACCGUAAACAAUGCAAACUAGUGAUCAGGUGACGUUUCAUACGACCCACCUGGGAGCUUACCGGAAACGAAAGUUUUCGUGUUCCGGGGGGAAUAUGUCUGCAAAGAUGAAACUUAAAGGAAUUGACGGAAGGGCACCACCAGGAGUGGAGCCUGCGGCUUAAUUUGACCCAACACGGGAAAACUCACCCGGCCCGGACACCGUAAGGAUUGACAGAUUGAGAGCUCUUUCUUGAUUCGGUGGGUGGUGGUGCAUGGCCGUUCUUAGUUGGUGGAGCGAUCUGUCUGGUUUAUUCCGAUAACGAACGAGACCGUGACCUACUAAAUAGUGUGCACAUCACUUUCGUGUGCAUCACUUCUUAGAGGGAUAAGCGUUAUUGAAGACGCAUGAAAUACAGCAAUAACAGGUCUGUGAUGCCC
Molecule: ribosomal RNA, 1412 nt
Filed under: uncultured eukaryote
Lineage: Eukaryota
Description: partial small subunit ribosomal RNA
Rfam family: Eukaryotic small subunit ribosomal RNA
Source: RNAcentral